UGUCGUCAGCUCGUGUUGUGAAAUGUUGGGUUAAGUCCCGCAACGAGCGCAACCCUUAUCCUUUGUUGCCAGCGGUCCGGCCGGGAACUCAAAGGAGACUGCCAGUGAUAAACUGGAGGAAGGUGGGGAUGACGUCAAGUCAUCAUGGCCCUUACGACCAGGGCUACACACGUGCUACAAUGGCGCAUACAAAGAGAAGCGACCUCGCGAGAGCAAGCGGACCUCAUAAAGUGCGUCGUAGUCCGGAUUGGAGUCUGCAACUCGACUCCAUGAAGUCGGAAUCGCUAGUAAUCGUGGAUCAGAAUGCCACGGUGAAUACGUUCCCGGGCCUUGUACACACCGCCCGUCACACCAUGGGAGUGGGUUGCAAAAGAAGU
RNAcentral lists this ribosomal RNA (377 nucleotides) under Escherichia coli. Its description in RNAcentral is "bacterial SSU rRNA". It matches the Rfam family "Bacterial small subunit ribosomal RNA", at positions 1050 to 1427 of the family's 1533-position model. RNAcentral also lists the same sequence under 2 other names. Lineage: Bacteria; Pseudomonadati; Pseudomonadota; Gammaproteobacteria; Enterobacterales; Enterobacteriaceae. The record is from RNAcentral.